This 483-nucleotide ribosomal RNA is filed under the name uncultured bacterium. RNAcentral describes it as "partial 16S ribosomal RNA". It matches the Rfam family "Bacterial small subunit ribosomal RNA", at positions 28 to 507 of the family's 1533-position model. The record is from RNAcentral.
GAUGAACGCUGGCGGCGUGCCUAACACAUGCAAGUCGAACGAAGCUUGACGGAUGAUUUCUUCGGAAUGAAACCAGAUAUGACUUAGUGGCGGACGGGUGAGUAACACGUGAGCAACCUGCCUUUCAGAGGGGGAUAACGGCUGGAAACGGUCGCUAAUACCGCAUGAUGUGUUCGGAUGGCAUCAUCUGAACAUCAAAGAUUUAUCGCUGAAAGAUGGGCUCGCGUCUGAUUAGAUAGUUGGUGGGGUAACGGCCUACCAAGUCUACGAUCAGUAGCCGGACUGAGAGGUUGAACGGCCACAUUGGGACUGAGAUACGGCCCAGACUCCUACGGGAGGCAGAAGUGGGGAAUAUUGCACAAUGGGGGAAACCCUGAUGCAGCAACGCCGCGUGAAGGAUGACGGUUUUCGGAUUGUAAACUUCUUUUCUUAGUGACGAAGACAGUGACGGUAGCUAAGGAAUAAGCAUCGGCUAACUACGUG